Molecule: ribosomal RNA, 234 nt
Filed under: uncultured bacterium
Lineage: Bacteria
Description: partial 16S ribosomal RNA
Rfam family: Bacterial small subunit ribosomal RNA
Source: RNAcentral
UGAGUAACCUGCCCUUCACUCUGGGAUAAGCCUGGGAAACUGGGUCUAAUACCGGAUAUGACUCCUCAUCGCAUGGGUGGGGGGUGGAAAGCUUUAUUGUGGUUUUGGAUGGACUCGCGGCCUAUCAGCUUGUUGGUGAGGUAAUAGCUCACCAAGGCGAUGACGGGUAGCCGGCCUGAGAGGGUGACCGGCCACACUGGGACUGAGACACGGCCCAGACCUCCCGUACGGGGA